Choloepus didactylus (southern two-toed sloth) is the source of this 2075-nucleotide long non-coding RNA. RefSeq lists it as uncharacterized. Lineage: Eukaryota; Metazoa; Chordata; Mammalia; Pilosa; Megalonychidae. The transcript has 3 exons. The record is from RefSeq and is a predicted model, not a curated record.
UGAGCUACUUUCCUGUCAGCCUGCCAUAAAAUGGUUGAUCUGGAGUGAUUUUCAAAUCCUAUAUUUCAGUGAUAAUUGCCUUAUUCAUGGGUUUGGUCACACGUGACACCAGUGAGAGGCAAUAUAUAAAUUAUGUCUAAACAUCCUCCAAUAACUAGUUGCAUUUUUUUUAGAGAAAUGCUGGGUGGAUUUAGAGCACUUAAAUUUCUUCUUUACUAAUUGUUUUUCUCAGAUAGAGUUAUACCUCAAUGAUAUUGGGAAAUGACUAUGCAAAUAUGUGCUAACCCAGCCAAGGAAAUAGAAUAUGGAUACCACUUUGCACUUCCUAAAUUGAAGAUACCCAUGAAUUAGUUCUUAGUGCUUAUCAAGCAGGGAAGAAUUGGCAAAACAGAACUAUCAUGAUGGGUAAUUUAAGAUAAUCUUAGAUGUAGAGGGAAGGUCCUGGGGCCUUCACAAGGUCGAGGGGCCCCAACAUGGUCUGUCCAGAGGCAGAGUGGAAGAGAGUCCCUCACUACUCUGUUCCACAUUUUGGGAACCUGCAAGUCAGAAUUUUAAUCAACAAUCUCUGGGAACCAAUGGAGUUUACAAUCUGAUUGAGGAAACCAGACAUACAAGCUGGGCUGCCCUUGUAAACACACUGUCUCACCACCUGUUCUAGGCCCUGGGAGGAUGACUUCCAUGGACUUCAUGAUGUGUUCCCUGCUUUCUGGCUUCCUGGUGGGUUCAGCGAAGGGAAGAUUAGCAGGAGACUGAAGGACAGGAGUGAACAGAGAUUAGGACUCUCUCUUGCCACUUCUCUGCUGGGCCUCCUUCUGGUGGUGACUGCAUUCCUUUACCAAAAGCCAUAGCUCCUUCAGGUGUCCUUCUCCUAAACUACCAUUCUUCCUGGGUUGUAGUAACUCUUCCACUACUUGCUGCUGCAGGCUAAGGGAUAGUAAAAUUUUCUCUACCAUUGCUUCAUCAUUCCUUGAUGAAUUGUACUGGAUUAAACUAUAAAUUGUACUGGAUUAAUCUCUGUUCAAUAAUCCCUAUUGAGUGUGCCCUCCAUUUCCUCUAGGGAUCCUGACAGAUGCACAAAGAUAAAACUUGACAAGCCAAUGAGAGCCUAAAGGGUGGAACAGAGGAAAUUGGAGAAUGACAGAAUAGAGGCAAACUCUGAAGUUCUGGACUACUUUAGUUAUCAGCAUGGUCAUGUUCAAGGUAUGAAUUGUUUACAUAGUUCAAUUCCUUCACGGUGCUCAGAACUCUCAAUACAGCUCAAGUCAAAAGGACAAUAAAAAGCCUUUUAGGAUGAUCCAUCAGUGAAAGAUUAGGUGGUAGCAAAUAAAUUGUUUCUAAGUAACCUUUGACUAGUUCUCAAAUACAUUGAAACUGAAAAAUAUUUGCUCCCAUGUAGUAGCAAUGCAGGGUGACCCAGGAGAAAGAGGGACUUUGAAAUUCAAUGAUUUGGGUUUUAAUCUUGAUUGCACCAUUUAAAAUCUAUGUGAACUUGAGCCAGUUCCUUAACCUGGGAAUCAAUUUCUUUUUUUGGAAAAUAGCAAUUAAGUACCUAAUUUACUUGGGCUCUUGUGGGAACUAAAUGAAAUGAUGCAUUUAAAGCCUCUAAUGCAGUGUCUGGCAUGUAAUUGAACCCUAAUAAAUGCUUAGAUUGAAUAUGUUUCUGCUAUGUGGAAGACUGCAAAAAAUAUACUGGAGGAUAUGGUAGAGUUUUGGAGACAUUCAGCUACACAGGCUAGAGAACUGACUUGUGUUUACUAAUGCAUUUUAAUGGCAAUGUUUUUCCUUUGGUACAAAUUCACUCUUGGAAGUAAAUUGUUCCAUGAAAUCUUUGUUAAUGUUUCUCGAUUUGUGGCAGUUUGGCCUGAAGGGGACAGGGUAGGGGAUCUUUCUUCCUGAAAUGAAUCAGAGCCAUGGAAUUACUGGCUACUCUCAAAUUCUGAAAUGCAGUGUUGAAGAAAAUUAAACCUGAAAGCUCAAGGAAAGCAAACAGCAGAAUCACUGGUGGGAGAUUAAAGUCAAGCUAGAAGCAAAAUUCACCAAUGAAGUAACGAGGGGGGAAGCCUCCAAAACAAGGU